CGAAAGCCUGACGGAGCAAUACCGCGUGAGGGACGAAGGUCUGUGGAUUGUAAACCUCUUUUGUUGGGGAAGAUAAUGACGGUACCCAACGAAUAAGCAUCGGCUAACUCCGUGCCAGCAGCCGCGGUAAGACGGAGGAUGCAAGCGUUAUCCGGAAUUAUUGGGCGUAAAGCGUACGUAGGCUGUUUCAUAAGUCUGUUGUCAAAGCGCGAGGCUCAACCUUGUAAAGGCAAUGGAAACUGCGAGACUAGAGAGAGAUAGGGGCAGGAGGAAUUCCAGGUGUAGCGGUGAAAUGCGUAGAUAUCUGGAAGAACACCAGUGGCGAAAGCGUCCUGCUGGAUCUCAACUGACGCUGAAGUACGAAAGCUAG
RNAcentral lists this ribosomal RNA (370 nucleotides) under uncultured cyanobacterium. RNAcentral's name for it is "bacterial SSU rRNA". It matches the Rfam family "Bacterial small subunit ribosomal RNA", at positions 376 to 763 of the family's 1533-position model. The record is from RNAcentral. Lineage: Bacteria; Bacillati; Cyanobacteriota.